AAAAACAUCACCUCUUGCCUUUAUAAGAGGCCAAGCCUGCCCAGUGACCCAUGUUCAACGGCCGCGGUACCCUAACCGUGCAAAGGUAGCGUAAUCACUUGUCUCUUAAAUAGAGACUUGUAUGAAAGGCUUCACGAGAGUUACACUGUCUCCUCUUUCUAAUCAGUAAACCUAAUCUCCCUGUGAAGAAGCGGGGAUAUUAAUAUAAGACGAGAAGACCCUAUGGAGCUUAAAACAUAAUAACACCUGAUUAACUUUUUCUACUAUAGUAUCUACCCUAAUUACAUGCUGAUUAUAUGUUUUCGGUUGGGGUGACCGCGGAGAAUAAUAUAUCCUCCACGAUGAAGGGGUAUAAAUCCCUAAACAACAAACCACAACUUUAAGUAUCAAAAACUUGACAUAAAUGAUCCAAUACUUUGAUCAACGAACCAAGUUACCCUAGGGAUAACAGCGCAAUCCACUUUAAAAGUCCUUAUUAACAAGUGGGCUUACGACCUCGAUGUUGGAUCAGGGUAUCCUAGUGGUGCAGCCGCUACUAAUGGUUCGUUUGUUCAACGAUUAAAACCCUACGUGAUCUG
This 578-nucleotide ribosomal RNA is filed under the name Pristimantis crenunguis (spring robber frog). RNAcentral describes it as "partial 16S ribosomal RNA". It matches the Rfam family "Bacterial large subunit ribosomal RNA", at positions 1809 to 2607 of the family's 2925-position model. The record is from RNAcentral. Lineage: Eukaryota; Metazoa; Chordata; Amphibia; Anura; Strabomantidae.